This 865-nucleotide long non-coding RNA is filed under the name Homo sapiens (human). RNAcentral describes it as "non-protein coding lnc-TWIST1-5:1". Lineage: Eukaryota; Metazoa; Chordata; Mammalia; Primates; Hominidae. The record is from RNAcentral.
CCAUAGAAGAUUUGAUGGACGUGGACAUGAGCCCUCUAAGGCCUCAAAAUUAACUUUUUAAUUGUGAACUAAAGCUGACAAAUAUUAUCACUUUAAUGUGGAUGAUGAUGAAAAUGAGCACCAGUUUUCUUUAAGAAUGGCCAGUUCAGGAGCUGGUACCUAUGAUGAAUUGCACAUCGUUGAAGCAGAAGCAAUGAAAUAUAAACGCAGUCCAAAUAAAAGUAACACUGGCAACUUUGAAAAUGUCUGUACAGCCAACAGUUUCCUUUGUGGGCUUUGAAAUACCACCACCUAUGGUCUUAUGGUUGAAGCAUAGUUCAGGGCCAGUGCAUAUUAAUGGGCAGCACUUAACAGCUGUGGAGGAAGAUGCACAGUGAGAAGAUGAAGAGGAGGAGGAUGCAAAGCUCUUAAGUAUAUCUGGAAAGCGAGCUGCCUCUAGAGGUGGUAGUGAGGUUCCACAGAAAAAAAGUAAAAACUUGCUGCUAAUGAAGAUAAUGAUGAUGACAAUGAAGAUGACGAUGACAAGGGUGAGGAAGAUGAAGAAAAAGCUCAGUGAAGAAAUCUAUAUAAGAUACUCCAGCCAAAAUUGCACAAAAAUCAAACCAGACUGAAAAAGACUCAAAACCAUCAACAUCAAGACCCAAAAGGUCAAGAAUCCUUCAAAAAACAGAAAAAAAACCCUCCCAAAACGCUAAAAGGACCUAGUUCUGUAGAAAACAUUAAAGCAAAAAUGCAAGCAAGUACACAAAAAGGUGGUUCUCUUCCCAAAUUGGAAACCAAUUUCAUCAAUUAUGUGAAGAACUGCUUCCUAAUGACUGACCAAGAGGCUAUUCAAGAUCUCUGGCAGUGGAGCAAGAAGUCUCCU